AUUGAACGCUGGCGGCAGGCUUAACACAUGCAAGUCGAGCGAGCGGCGGACGGGUGAGUAAUGUCUGGGACACUGCCUGAUGGAGGGGGAUAACUACUGGAAACGGUAGCUAAUACCGCAUAACAUCCGAUGUGCCCAGAUGGGAUUAGCUCGUAGGUGGGGUAAUGGCUCACCUGGGCGACGAUCCCUAUCUGGUCUGAGAGGAUGAACAGCCACCCUGUACCUGAGACACGGUCCAGACUCCUACGGGCGGCAGCAGUGGGGAAUAUUGCACAAUGUGCGGAAGCCUGAUGCAGCCAUGCCGCGUGUAUGAAGAAGGCCUUCGGGGUGUAAAGUACUUUCAGCGGGGGGGCGUUACCCGCAGAAGAAGCACCGGCUAACUCCGUGCCAGCAGCCGCGGUAAUAC
This 406-nucleotide ribosomal RNA is filed under the name uncultured bacterium. RNAcentral describes it as "partial 16S ribosomal RNA". It matches the Rfam family "Bacterial small subunit ribosomal RNA", at positions 30 to 526 of the family's 1533-position model. The record is from RNAcentral.